RNAcentral lists this ribosomal RNA (325 nucleotides) under uncultured eukaryote. RNAcentral describes it as "partial 18S ribosomal RNA". It matches the Rfam family "Eukaryotic small subunit ribosomal RNA", at positions 1470 to 1796 of the family's 1831-position model. The record is from RNAcentral.
CCCCUAGAUGUUCUGGGCCGCACGCGCGCUACACUGAACAGUUCAACAAGUCUUAACCUUGGCCGAUAGGUCUGGGUAAUCUUUGAACGCUGUUCGUGAUUGGGAUAGACCUUUGCAAUUAUGGGUCUUCAACGAGGAAUUCCUAGUAAACGCAAGUCAUCAGCUUGCAUUGAUUACGUCCCUGCCCUUUGUACACACCGCCCGUCGCUCCUACCGAUUGAGCAAUCCGGUGAAUACUUCGGACCGGUUACUUGGUUGGUUCGCUAACCUUGUGACUGGAAAGUCGAGUGAACCUUAUUGCUUAGAGGAAGGAGAAGUCGUAACA